GUAGGGGGCAAGCGUUGUCCGGAAUCAUUGGGCGUAAAGAGCGCGUAGGCGGUCCGGUAAGUCAGCUGUGAAAGUCAAGGGCUCAACCCUUGAAAGCCGGUUGAUACUGUCGGGCUAGAGUCCGGAAGAGGCGAGUGGAAUUCCCGGUGUAGCGGUGAAAUGCGCAGAUAUCGGGAGGAACACCAAUGGCGAAGGCAGCUCGCUGGGACGGUACUGACGCUGAGGCGCGAAAGCGUGGGGAGCAAACAGGAUUAGAUACCCUGGUAGUCCACGCCGUAAACGAUGGGCACUAGGUGUUGGGGGUGUCGACUCCCCCGGCGCCGUAGCUAACGCAUUAAGUGCCCCGCCUGGGGAGUACGGCCGCAAGGCUAAA
RNAcentral lists this ribosomal RNA (373 nucleotides) under uncultured bacterium. Its description in RNAcentral is "bacterial SSU rRNA". It matches the Rfam family "Bacterial small subunit ribosomal RNA", at positions 527 to 898 of the family's 1533-position model. The record is from RNAcentral.